RNAcentral lists this ribosomal RNA (403 nucleotides) under uncultured bacterium. Its description in RNAcentral is "bacterial SSU rRNA". It matches the Rfam family "Bacterial small subunit ribosomal RNA", at positions 356 to 773 of the family's 1533-position model. The record is from RNAcentral.
GGGGAAUCUUGCACAAUGGGCGGAAGCCUGAUGCAGCAACGCCGCGUGAGUGAAGACGGCCUUCGGGUUGUAAAACUCUGUCAGGAGGGGCGAAAAAAAUGACGGUACCUCCAGAGGAAGCCCCGGCUAACUACGUGCCAGCAGCCGCGGUAACACGUAGGGGGCCAGCGUUGUCCGGAAUUACUGGGCGUAAAGGGCGUGUAGGCGGCCUAGCAAGUCAGCUGUGAAACCCCCGGGCUCAACCUGGGGCUUGCAGUUGAAACUGCCCGGCUUGAGUGCAGGAGAGGAGAGUGGAAUUCCUAGUGUAGCGGUGAUAUGCGUAGAUAUUAGGAGGAACACCAGUGGCGAAGGCGGCUCCCUGGACUGCAACUGACGCUGAGGCGCGAAAGCGUGGGGAGCAAAC